CCCUAUGCCUAUGUUCUGAAUGGCAUUGCCUAGGUUUUUUUCUAGGGUUUUUAUGGUGUUAGGUUUAAUGUUUAAACCUUUAAUCCAUCUGGAGUUAAUUUUAGUGUAAGUUGUAAGGAACGUGUCCAGUUUUAGCUUUUUGCACAUUGCUAGCCAGUUUUCCCAAAG
Long non-coding RNA from Cebus imitator (Panamanian white-faced capuchin), 168 nucleotides. RefSeq lists it as uncharacterized. The record is from RefSeq and is a predicted model, not a curated record. The transcript has 4 exons. NCBI's taxonomy places the organism in Eukaryota, Metazoa, Chordata, Mammalia, Primates, Cebidae.